This is a non-coding RNA of Salvelinus sp. IW2-2015, 1518 nucleotides long. The record is from RefSeq and is a predicted model, not a curated record. Lineage: Eukaryota; Metazoa; Chordata; Actinopteri; Salmoniformes; Salmonidae.
AGUGCGAAUGUAUCUGACCCCCAGUAACAUAGUCCUACUGACUGCCAUCGCUCUGAUCGGAGUGUGUGUUUUCAUCCUGGUCAUCAUUGGCAUCCUCCACUGGCAGGAGAAGAAAGCGGACGACCGGGAGAAGAGACAGGAAGCACACCGGUUCCAUUUUGAUGCCAUGUGAAGGAGCACAGGAAGAGAUGGACCAAAAGUCAUGCCAGCUUUCUGUUUUAUUUAAGUUUGCUGGUCGAUGGAAUUGUUUAUUUAUUUGAUCCCCUCAGCCUCUUGACGAUGAGCCAUUUAAAGUGUUUAUAUAUCCAUUAGACAUUAUCAAAUGUAAAAGAGACAGACAGGUUACUUCUGGCAUACUUGCACAGUUUUGGUUGGAAUUUGAAUGUUCUUUUUUUUUAUUCACAUUUCCUUAUACAUUUCAUGGGCCAAAAUGAUGGAUGCACCCAAAUCUAAUCAGGACUACUGAGUGAAAUUACACUGAGUUAUAUCCCAGUUUCCUUUUUUUAUUCAAUGGUUUGGCUCAGCUCAUUAUGUAUGCUUGUCAAAUGGGCACUAACAGUUUGCGUCAUGAAUUUUGCAAUAAUGUUUAAAUGUUCAAUGCAAGUCAUCCUGAUCUGCAAAACACAUUACCGAUGUGUUUGUUUUGGGGGAGGCAUUGCUAUUGUAAUGCUACUUGAAUAUUUAUGUCCGUCGUCCAUUGUCUUCCUGUAUGUCAAUCUGCAAAGGUUAUUGUUUCCUGUUUUACUACUACAGUGAGAUCUUACACAUAGAGUCCACUGACCCAAACAGGGUACUUACACUGGAUGCAUCCAUUGUGCUCUACUGUAUAUAAUGCACAUAGUACAUGGUCCAUAAUGAGGGGUUAGUGUACGUGUCAAGUUCAUUAUGUAUUUUUCCUCUCCUUUUUUUUCCCAAAUUCCCCUCCAAAUACCGGACACAAUGUCUUCUCCUUGUUUGAUCGCUCCCACUCUCCACUGCCGUCACUCACGGUGGUCUUGGAAUGGCCUGUACUACUGACCCCUCUGGUUUGGUCAUGUCCUUUAGCUUUUUAGUCUUUCUCACUCUUAAUAAUCGUGUUUGUCUCGCAUGAUAAACAUGGUGUGUUUUUGGAGUGCCAAACACUUGUGUUCAUUCAAAAUCUAAAUGAAACUGUGGCGGUCAAUUGAAGAAUGGUCCACAUAACACUUAAACUACUUCUACUUACAGGGGGAAAUAGGUGUGUUCUUUAACCAACAGGAAGUGCACUCAUACAUAUUAUCACCAAUGUCAAAGCUUCUUCUAUUAAUCAUUCUAUUUCAUUUGGAAUUAACGUGGGGCACGUGUCAUCUCAUGUCUGUGGUUUGAACUUUUUUUUUUUUUUUAUAUAAUGAUUGAUAGUGAUCAGUCUAAUUGAUUGUAUUUCUGUGUUUGUGUGUGGAUUGUGCGUGUAAUCGGAAAUGUUCAACUGAAGUGUGAUCAUUUCUGUUGAGAAUGUUUCUGGGAUGAUGGGUUGAAAAUUAAAGUGUUUAUCGUGCUUAA